Molecule: non-coding RNA, 619 nt
Organism: Marmota flaviventris (yellow-bellied marmot)
Lineage: Eukaryota; Metazoa; Chordata; Mammalia; Rodentia; Sciuridae
Source: the annotation of a RefSeq genome assembly
CUCCCGGCCUGUGACUCAGUCCCGAGGAUCAGCUCCAGGUCACUGUUGGAAGGAUCACUUCCAUUUUGAGUAGGAUUUGAGUUUUGAAAGGUUUUUCUUCUCGUCUUAUCAUCUGGUCCUUUUCCUUGAAAGCCCCAGGGAAGAAGGCAUGCUGUGGGCUCUAGCCCUACUUCUAGCCAUCCUGCCUCCUGGCAGUCAAACAUCUUCCAGUUUGGAAGGGAGAAUGAUGUCACUCAAGAGAACAACUGGGUCCAAUGCAGUAAUUACUUGUGAUUUUGCUGAAGAAAGAAAUUUCAUCCACUGGUACCAACUCAAGGAGGGGAAGGCCCCACAACACCUUCUCUACCAUGAUUUUUACAAUUCCAAGAUUGUGAUGGACUCAGGACUCGAUCCAGUGAAAUACCAUGUGUAUGAAGGCACAGGCCAGAGAUCUAAAUUCAUAGUGCGAAAUCUGGAAGAGAGUGAUUCUGCUGAGUAUUACUGUGCUUACUGGAGUGCCUGUCACAGUGAUUCAAAUCUGCUCUGUACAGUACACGAAAUGUUACUUGUGGCUGCACAUGAGACACAAAAAAGACCAGCCUCCAUCUCACUUCCUGCUGCCGGCCUCACUGUUUGCUGA